This 400-nucleotide ribosomal RNA is filed under the name uncultured bacterium. Its description in RNAcentral is "bacterial SSU rRNA". It matches the Rfam family "Bacterial small subunit ribosomal RNA", at positions 355 to 746 of the family's 1533-position model. The record is from RNAcentral.
UGGGGAAUAUUGCGCAAUGGGGGAAACCCUGACGCAGCAACGCCGCGUGGGUGAAGAAGGCCUUCGGGUUGUAAAGCCCUUUCGGCCGGGAAGAAGGGUGUAUGGGCUAAUAACCUGUGCAUUUGAUGGUACCGGAAGAAGAAGCACCGGCAAACUUCGUGCCAGCAGCCGCGGUAAUACGAAGGGUGCGAGCGUUGUUCGGAAUUACUGGGCGUAAAGGGUUCGUAGGCGGGAGAGCAAGUCGAAUGUGAAAACCCCGGGCUUAACCUGGGACGUGCAUUUGAUACUGUUUUUCUUGAGUUUUGGAGAGGGUGGUGGAAUUGCUGGUGUAGGAGUGACAUCCGUAGAGAUCAGCAGGAACGCCGGAGGCGAAAGCGACCACCUGGCCAAGGACUGACGC